RNAcentral lists this ribosomal RNA (497 nucleotides) under Cryptosporidium suis. RNAcentral describes it as "SSU rRNA". It matches the Rfam family "Eukaryotic small subunit ribosomal RNA", at positions 547 to 1072 of the family's 1831-position model. The record is from RNAcentral. Lineage: Eukaryota; Apicomplexa; Conoidasida; Eucoccidiorida; Cryptosporidiidae.
AUUGGAGGGCAAGUCUGGUGCCAGCAGCCGCGGUAAUUCCAGCUCCAAUAGCGUAUAUUAAAGUUGUUGCAGUUAAAAAGCUCGUAGUUGGAUUUCUGUUAAUAAUUUAUAUAUAAUAUUUUUAAUAUUUAUAUAAUAUUAACAUAAUUCAUAUUACUAAUUUUUAUUAGUAUAUGAAAUUUUACUUUGAGAAAAUUAGAGUGCUUAAAGCAGGCAUAUGCCUUGAAUACUCCAGCAUGGAAUAAUAUAAAAGAUUUUUAUCUUUUUUAUUGGUUCUAAGAUAAAAAUAAUGAUUAAUAGGGACAGUUGGGGGCAUUUGUAUUUAACAGUCAGAGGUGAAAUUCUUAGAUUUGUUAAAGACAAACUAGUGCGAAAGCAUUUGCCAAGGAUGUUUUCAUUAAUCAAGAACGAAAGUUAGGGGAUCGAAGACGAUCAGAUACCGUCGUAGUCUUAACCAUAAACUAUGCCAACUAGAGAUUGGAGGUUGUUCCUUACUC